CAAAAAAAUAUUACUGUUCAGUAGGCCCACUGGCCAGUUACAUAAAGGCACAGAAUCACCCUUUCACCUAUAGCAGUUUAUGAGCUACAAAGCAAAAACUAAAGCUUGCUGAUUGUUACAACCUACCCCAUGCAGUUGUAAUAUUAAGUGGGGAAAGUUGUAACAAACCUAUACAAAGACAGAAGGCUCAAAAAAGUGGUCUCUCACAAAGAUCUUUAUUAAAAAAAAAUUGCAAAGGAAACAUUAAUGACAAAAACACAAAUAUUAAGGACUCAGUGCUUUGGAUUAAAGCUUAUCAAUAAUUUAGUCCUAUAUACCGUCACUCAUCUCACUCUUGCAGUUCUGGCAAAUAAAUGUAGCAUCUACAGAUAUUGCGACAGAACAUCCAAUCGUAAAGGGAUUGGAUGUUCUAUCGCAGUUAAAAAAAUUUUUAAAAAUAUUCGUACUGGCUUGUUGUAUUCUAUUCUAUUUAUGUAUUAUGUGUAUGCCUGAAGAUGAUGUGUAGACAUCGAAAGCAC
Molecule: long non-coding RNA, 518 nt
Filed under: Androctonus crassicauda
Lineage: Eukaryota; Metazoa; Arthropoda; Arachnida; Scorpiones; Buthidae
Source: RNAcentral